UGAGGAAUUUUGCGCAAUGGGGGAAACCCUGACGCAGCGACGCCGCGUGGAGGAUGAAGGCCUUCGGGUCGUAAACUCCUGUCAGAGGUGAAGAAUGCCCGCAAGGGUUUGACGGUAACCUCAGAGGAAGCCCCGGCUAACUACGUGCCAGCAGCCGCGGUAAUACGUAGGGGGCAAACGUUACACGGAAUUACUGGGCGUAAAGGGUGCGUAGGCGGCUGGGAAAGUCAAGGAUGAAAUCCCGUGGCUCAACUGCGGAACGGUCCUUGAAACUACUCGGCUUGAGGAUAACCGAAGAGAACGGAAUUCCCGGUGGAGCGGUGAAAUGCGUAGAUAUCGGGAGGAACACCUGAGGCGAAAGCGGAUCUCUAGACUACUCCUGACGCUGAGGCACGAAAGCUAGGGGAGCAAACGGG
Molecule: ribosomal RNA, 416 nt
Filed under: uncultured bacterium
Lineage: Bacteria
Description: bacterial SSU rRNA
Rfam family: Bacterial small subunit ribosomal RNA
Source: RNAcentral